RNAcentral lists this ribosomal RNA (164 nucleotides) under uncultured bacterium. RNAcentral describes it as "partial 16S rRNA". It matches the Rfam family "Bacterial small subunit ribosomal RNA", at positions 355 to 511 of the family's 1533-position model. The record is from RNAcentral.
UAGGGAAUCUUCCACAAUGGGCGAAAGCGUGAUGGAGCAACGCCGCGUGUGUGAUGAAGGGUUUCGGCUCGUAAAACACUGUUGUAAGAGAAGAAUGACAUUGAGAGUAACUGUUCAAUGUGUGACGGUAUCUUACCAGAAAGGAACGGCUAAAUACGUGUCAG